This 510-nucleotide ribosomal RNA is filed under the name uncultured bacterium. RNAcentral's name for it is "partial 16S ribosomal RNA". It matches the Rfam family "Bacterial small subunit ribosomal RNA", at positions 28 to 507 of the family's 1533-position model. The record is from RNAcentral.
GACGAACGCUGGCGGCGUGCUUAACACAUGCAAGUCGAACGAAGAGCGAUGGAAGCUUGCUUCUAUCAAUCUUAGUGGCGAACGGGUGAGUAACGCGUAAUCAACCUGCCCUUCAGAGGGGGACAACAGUUGGAAACGACUGCUAAUACCGCAUACGCUCUAAUCUCGGCAUCGAGGAUAGAUGAAAGGUGGCCUCUACAUGUAAGCUAUCACUGAAGGAGGGGAUUGCGUCUGAUUAGCUAGUUGGAGGGGUAACGGCCCACCAAGGCGAUGAUCAGUAGCCGGUCUGAGAGGAUGAACGGCCACAUUGAGACUGAGACACGGCCCAGACUCCUACAGGAGGCGGCAGUGGGGAAUCUUCCGCAAUGGACGAAAGUCUGACGGAGCAACGCCGCGUGAGGGAUGACGGCCUUCGGGUUGGAAAGCUCGGUUAAUCGGGACGAAAGGCCUUCUUGCGAAUAGUGAGAAGGAUUGACGGUACCGGAAUAGAAAGCCACGGCUAACUACGUG